Molecule: ribosomal RNA, 253 nt
Filed under: uncultured bacterium
Lineage: Bacteria
Description: partial 16S ribosomal RNA
Rfam family: Bacterial small subunit ribosomal RNA
Source: RNAcentral
UACGUAGGGGGCAAGCGUUGUCCGGAAUCACUGGGCUUAAAGCGUGUGUAGGCGGAUUGCUAAGUACCUUGUGAAAUCCCACGGCUUAACCGUGGAACUGCUUGGUAUACUGGCUGUCUUGAGCCACUUAGGGGCAACCGGAACAAACGGUGGAGCGGUGAAAUGCGUAGAUAUCGUUUGGAACGCCAAUGGUGAAAACAGGUAACUGGGAGUGUGCCGACGCUGAGAUACGAAAGCCAGGGGAGCGAACGGG